Molecule: long non-coding RNA, 491 nt
Organism: Mastomys coucha (southern multimammate mouse)
Lineage: Eukaryota; Metazoa; Chordata; Mammalia; Rodentia; Muridae
Exons: 2
Source: RefSeq, a predicted model, not a curated record
GCAGGAAAUUGCUACACAGUUCCAGCUGACCAUGGACUAAAAACUCUAAAACCUUGAAACAAAACAAAACCUCUCUGGCUUUUAAAUUCUUUCUCUCAGGUUAUCAUGAGAGGACCUGCCUCUGCCACUCCAAACUCCACCAGAGUAGGAACGCUACCAGAUAGAGAAGGGCAGCCGUCCAGGGGAGCGGAGCAGCCGUCCGUCCAGGGGAGCGGAGCAGCCGUCCGUCCAGGGGAGCGGGGCAGCCGUCCGUCCAGGGGAGCGGAGCAGCCGUCCAGGGGAGCGGAGCAGCCGUCCAGGGGAGCGGAGCAGCCGUCCGUCCAGGGGAGCUGAGCAGCCGUCCGUCCAGGGGAGCGGAGCAGCCGUCCAGGGGAGCAGGGCACAUGCGCACUGUACAGCUCACCAUGCACAGCAGCUGGGCUCCUGUCUCCAGCUAGGGCUGCGCUACAGGAAAAUGGAGACUCCCCCAUUUUUUUGUCUUAAAUUUCUUG